GUGCCAGCCGCCGCGGUAAUACGUAGGGUCCGAGCGUUGUCCGGAAUUAUUGGGCGUAAAGAGCUCGUAGGCGGUUUGUCGCGUCUGCUGUGAAAUCUGGAGGCUCAACCUCCAGCCUGCAGUGGGUACGGGCAGACUAGAGUGCGGUAGGGGAGAAUGGAAUUCCUGGUGUAGCGGUGGAAUGCGCAGAUAUCAGGAGGAACACCGAUGGCGAAGGCAGUUCUCUGGGCCGUAACUGACGCUGAGGAGCGAAAGCGUGGGGAGCGAACAGGAUUAGAUACCCCCGUAGUCC
RNAcentral lists this ribosomal RNA (292 nucleotides) under uncultured bacterium. RNAcentral's name for it is "partial 16S ribosomal RNA". It matches the Rfam family "Bacterial small subunit ribosomal RNA", at positions 505 to 796 of the family's 1533-position model. The record is from RNAcentral.